RNAcentral lists this ribosomal RNA (448 nucleotides) under uncultured bacterium. RNAcentral's name for it is "bacterial SSU rRNA". It matches the Rfam family "Bacterial small subunit ribosomal RNA", at positions 355 to 825 of the family's 1533-position model. The record is from RNAcentral.
UGGGGAAUCUUGCACAAUGGGCGAAAGCCUGAUGCAGCAACGCCGCGUGCGGGAAGAAGGCCCUCGGGUUGUAAACCGCUUUCAGAAGGAACGAAACUGACGGUACCUGCAGAAGAAGGUGCGGCCAACUACGUGCCAGCAGCCGCGGUGACACGUAGGCACCAAGCGUUGUCCGGAUUUAUUGGGCGUAAAGAGCUCGUAGGCGGUUCAGUAAGUCGGGUGUGAAAACUCUGGGCUCAACCCAGAGACGCCACCCGAUACUGCUGUGACUUGAGUACGGUAGGGGAGUGGGGAAUUCCUGGUGUAGCGGUGAAAUGCGCAGAUAUCAGGAGGAACACCAGUGGCGAAGGCGCCACUCUGGGCCGUAACUGACGCUGAGGAGCGAAAGCGUGGGGAGCAAACAGGAUUAGAUACCCUAGUAGUCCCUGAGCGGGCUGGCAAGGCGCAU